Molecule: unclassified non-coding RNA, 374 nt
Filed under: soil metagenome
Description: partial contains internal transcribed spacer 2 and large subunit ribosomal RNA
Rfam family: 5.8S ribosomal RNA (bases 1-120)
Source: RNAcentral
GAUGAAGAACGCAGCGAAAUGCGAUAAUUAAUGUGAAUUGCAGAAUUCCGUGAAUCAUCGAGUCUUUGAACGCACAUUGCGCCUCAUGGCAUUCCGUGAGGCAUGCCCAUCUCAGCGUUAGAAAAUAUUCUCAAAUUUUAGUUUUGUGCUAAAAUUUGGAUCAUGUCAAGGAAGCUAUUACUAUUAUUGUGAUCGCUCUUUGGAAAUUGAUAGGUCUUGAGUUGCUACUCAUAGAACGUGAUGAAUCUUUCUUCGUUCUAUUGUAAUUCACUCUGGUAGGCCUAAAACUUGUAUGCCUGUGGCAUAUCUUGUAAUUUGACCUGAGAUUGGGUAGGGAUACCCGCUGAACUUAAGCAUAUCAAUAAGCGGGAGGA